This is a non-coding RNA of Physcomitrium patens, 1502 nucleotides long. Lineage: Eukaryota; Viridiplantae; Streptophyta; Bryopsida; Funariales; Funariaceae. The record is from RefSeq and is a predicted model, not a curated record.
UCUUCUGACUUUUUGUCUUAUACCGCACUUGGUUCAUUUCCAUCUUGAUGUAUUAUUGAAGUUUUCGUGUAUUGGAUGAUAUUAAGAUCGUUGAGAGUACUUUUUGCUACUUGGAGUUUUGUUGGCGUGCACAUGCAGAUAAUAGCGUUCAAUGUGUCGAUGGUGGAGUAUGGAGAUUGUGCAGAAGCGAAUGAGUUGAAAUAUGGGAGUCCAAAUGUUGAUACAUUCAGUUAGGAAGAGAUCGACACUCACACAGCAGCUAAGACAAUGGAAACAUUUGAAGAACUAUGAGUCCUCAAAAUAUCACGCCGUCUACCAUUAUCAAUCGCAUAGUUGCAAUAUAACCGAAGUGUUUGUUUUAAUGCGAAACGAUUGGAUUUUAGGGUGAACACAGUGAUGGAUUGCAAGAGUCCACGACGUACAGAUGAUUGAAAGUUUUCGUGGUGAUUGUGGCUGCCUGUUUUUCAGAAGUGGAAUCAAAAAGCGAGAAACAACACCAGCAAUUGUUGGUGUGUUAACUGCGAUUAGAGUUAGCUUCUAUGCGUAGAGCCACGAUCUAGUGGCGACAUUGUUGCUCUCUAUGUGGAGUUGGUCUGAAAUGGCAGGAGUAAGCUAGUGAAUGUAUGAUUUGAUUUUUGUCAAACUGGUUUUUAGUCUCCGUAGUGGGCGAAUUCAAACUGACACCUGCAGAUCUCUGACACGGUGAUCAUGUAUCACAUUACACUCUGAUUUCUUGAUUUGCUGCAUCUCAUCUGAGAGCAAGUUGGAUACCUUUUUUUGCACUGCAUCGGUGUCCUGAGUGUAGCAGAAAUGCUGUUAGCAACUCAAGGUGUGCUUAUCCCCUUAGGUUAAGGACCGGAUUGCCUGACAAUCUGGUAUUUUGAUAGAGGCGAACCUCUUGCAGAAUGUGCUCGCUAUAGGACAGUUUAAGUGUUGGAACGACCCCUACCCAGCGAGUAGGUUUGAUCGUCUGAAAUGUUUAAAUUUAGAAGUCUCGGCUUCAUUGCAUUUAUCUCUUUGAAUCGUGCGCGACAAGAAGACGGAGACCUAUUGGCCAUGUUCGUUUUCGGACGUCAAUGAAGGACCAUUUUCAAUCGAAAAUCGGUUCAUACAUGAACAUACCCUUAGGGUUUCUGCACCUGUGAUGUGGAUCUCUGUCAGUUUAUUCCUCCAAGUCUUGAUUGGCAGUUAUCCGUUCGAAGUUGACUUUAGGCUACAUAGUAAUUUAAUGUUCGUGACCUUCAAUAGUUCCCGUCUUUAGUAGCCUCUGAAAACAUGUAAAUGCAUUCACAAUUUUGUGGCUGAAGUCAAAACCAUAACCUGGUGAGUGCCUACAUACGUUCUAGCAGUCACUGCUAAUCAAUAGAGCAACUAGAGAAGACCAAGCGAAACUACCAAAGCAGAUGACUUUAACAUUUCAAUUGAAGUGCCAAUUGUAAAGAGCCAUAACAAUUCAAAUAACUGUUAGCAGCUGUCCUCCAACGGCUCAAUUUCGGAACUAA